Molecule: ribosomal RNA, 445 nt
Filed under: uncultured bacterium
Lineage: Bacteria
Description: bacterial SSU rRNA
Rfam family: Bacterial small subunit ribosomal RNA
Source: RNAcentral
GUGAGGAAUAUUGGUCAAUGGGCGAGAGCCUGAACCAGCCAAGUCGCGUGAAGGAAGAAGGAUCUAUGGUUCGUAAACUUCUUUUGCAGGGGAAUAAAGUGCAGGACGUGUCCUGUUUUGUAUGUACCCUGAGAAUAAGGAUCGGCUAACUCCGUGCCAGCAGCCGCGGUAAUACGGAGGAUCCGAGCGUUAUCCGGAUUUAUUGGGUUUAAAGGGUGCGUAGGUGGUUUGAUAAGUCAGCGGUGAAAGUUUGCAGCUUAACUGUAAAAAUGCCGUUGAAACUGUCGGACUUGAGUGUAAAUGAGGUAGGCGGAAUGCGUGGUGUAGCGGUGAAAUGCAUAGAUAUCACGCAGAACUCCGAUUGCGAAGGCAGCUUACUAAGCUACAACUGACACUGAAGCACGAAAGCGUGGGGAUCAAACAGGAUUAGAAACCCGAGUAGUCC